UCGUGGAUUGAUUUGUCUGGUCUAUUCCGCUAACGAGCGAGAACCCGCCCUCUCGUGGUUAGGCGCUUGAGCAUGCAGGGAGCUGGGCCGACGCAAGAAGGCCCGGCUCCCAGCUGAAAACGCUCCUGAGCUCGUUCCGGAGGGACCGGUCCCGAUAAGGAGCCGGCAGCGGGUCAAUAACA
This 182-nucleotide ribosomal RNA is filed under the name uncultured eukaryote. Its description in RNAcentral is "partial 18S ribosomal RNA". It matches the Rfam family "Eukaryotic small subunit ribosomal RNA", at positions 1299 to 1458 of the family's 1831-position model. The record is from RNAcentral.